Molecule: ribosomal RNA, 874 nt
Filed under: Enterococcus durans
Lineage: Bacteria; Bacillati; Bacillota; Bacilli; Lactobacillales; Enterococcaceae
Description: bacterial SSU rRNA
Rfam family: Bacterial small subunit ribosomal RNA
Source: RNAcentral
GACGAACGCUGGCGGCGUGCCUAAUACAUGCAAGUCGUACGCUUCUUUUUCCACCGGAGCUUGCUCCACCGGAAAAAGAAGAGUGGCGAACGGGUGAGUAACACGUGGGUAACCUGCCCAUCAGAAGGGGAUAACACUUGGAAACAGGUGCUAAUACCGUAUAACAAUCGAAACCGCAUGGUUUUGAUUUGAAAGGCGCUUUCGGGUGUCGCUGAUGGAUGGACCCGCGGUGCAUUAGCUAGUUGGUGAGGUAACGGCUCACCAAGGCCACGAUGCAUAGCCGACCUGAGAGGGUGAUCGGCCACAUUGGGACUGAGACACGGCCCAAACUCCUACGGGAGGCAGCAGUAGGGAAUCUUCGGCAAUGGACGAAAGUCUGACCGAGCAACGCCGCGUGAGUGAAGAAGGUUUUCGGAUCGUAAAACUCUGUUGUUAGAGAAGAACAAGGAUGAGAGUAACUGUUCAUCCCUUGACGGUAUCUAACCAGAAAGCCACGGCUAACUACGUGCCAGCAGCCGCGGUAAUACGUAGGUGGCAAGCGUUGUCCGGAUUUAUUGGGCGUAAAGCGAGCGCAGGCGGUUUCUUAAGUCUGAUGUGAAAGCCCCCGGCUCAACCGGGGAGGGUCAUUGGAAACUGGGAGACUUGAGUGCAGAAGAGGAGAGUGGAAUUCCAUGUGUAGCGGUGAAAUGCGUAGAUAUAUGGAGGAACACCAGUGGCGAAGGCGGCUCUCUGGUCUGUAACUGACGCUGAGGCUCGAAAGCGUGGGGAGCAAACAGGAUUAGAUACCCUGGUAGUCCACGCCGUAAACGAUGAGUGCUAAGUGUUGGAGGGUUUCCGCCCUUCAGUGCUGCAGCUAACGCAUAAUGCACUACGC